This 134-nucleotide ribosomal RNA is filed under the name Salmonella enterica subsp. enterica serovar Montevideo. Its description in RNAcentral is "partial 16S ribosomal RNA". It matches the Rfam family "Bacterial small subunit ribosomal RNA", at positions 985 to 1116 of the family's 1533-position model. Lineage: Bacteria; Pseudomonadati; Pseudomonadota; Gammaproteobacteria; Enterobacterales; Enterobacteriaceae. The record is from RNAcentral.
CAGCAGUACAGAACUUUCCAGAGAUGGAUUGGUGCCUUCGGGAACUGUGAGACAGGUGCUGCAUGGCUGUCGUCAGCUCGUGUUGUGAAAUGUUGGGUUAAGUCCCGCAACGAGCGCAACCCUUAUCCUUUGUU